UUAGUGGGAUCUCGAGUGAUUCACGGCUCUUUGUUGAAACGAGAGUUCCGUGCUUGGCUGCAAACAAUGCUGAAUCAGGUUCAGGCUCUAGGCCUCUUAGAAGUAGCAUUUCAAAUAAACUUGGCCUUGAUAUUCAGUAGCCUCUCUAAACUUCUAUAGCAUCCAAGUUCUCAAAUUUGGCAUCAAAGGUAAGUAAAAAAGUUAAGUCAAGAAUCCGGACAGGA
Molecule: non-coding RNA, 224 nt
Organism: Arachis ipaensis
Lineage: Eukaryota; Viridiplantae; Streptophyta; Magnoliopsida; Fabales; Fabaceae
Source: RefSeq, a predicted model, not a curated record